This 610-nucleotide ribosomal RNA is filed under the name uncultured bacterium. RNAcentral's name for it is "bacterial SSU rRNA". It matches the Rfam family "Bacterial small subunit ribosomal RNA", at positions 338 to 947 of the family's 1533-position model. The record is from RNAcentral.
CCUACGGGAGGCAGCAGUAAGGAAUAUUGGUCAAUGGGCGCAAGCCUGAACCAGCCAUGCCGCGUGCAGGAAGACGGCCCUAUGGGUUGUAAACUGCUUUUGAACAAGAGAAAACCUCGGUACGUGUACCGAGCUGAUAGUAUUGUUAGAAUAAGCAUCGGCUAACUUCGUGCCAGCAGCCGCGGUAAGACGAAGGAUGCAAGCGUUAUCCGGAUUCAUUGGGUUUAAAGGGUGCGUAGGCGGCCUGAUAAGUCAGUGGUGAAAUCUCUCAGCUUAACUGAGAAACUGCCAUUGAUACUGUCGGGCUUGAGUACAGAUGAUGUGGGCGGAAUAUGACAUGUAGUGGUGAAAUACUUAGAUAUGUCAUAGAACACCGAUUGCGAAGGCAGCUCACAAAACUGUAACUGACGCUGAGGCACGAAAGUGCGGGGAUCAAACAGGAUUAGAUACCCUGGUAGUCCGCACCGUAAACGAUGAUUACUCGUUGUUGGCAAUAUGACCGUCAGCGACCAAGCGAAAGCGAUAAGAAUCCACCUGGGGAGUACGCCGGCAACGGUGAAACUCAAAUGAAUUGACGGCGNGAGAGNGCGAGACGACGACGAGGGAGAGG